This 1034-nucleotide long non-coding RNA is filed under the name Anas platyrhynchos platyrhynchos (common mallard). RNAcentral describes it as "lncRNA (ENSAPLG00000024918.1)". The record is from RNAcentral. Lineage: Eukaryota; Metazoa; Chordata; Aves; Anseriformes; Anatidae.
UGGGGAGUGCUGGGGCUGGGGCUGCCCAGGACACAGCUGGGAUGGCUGAAAGGAACAGGGAUCAAGGUGGGGAUGGGGAGCGAGCUGCGGGGCUGCCCCACUCUGCUCUGAUACUUCUGGACAGGGACAUCCUCAACCAAUCCACAUUCACUUCCCUUUGUGUUUUGGUGGCACAGUGCAGUGAGCUGCACAAGUGCCUGUCCUUACUGCUACAAGUCUUGCAAAAUGCUGGGCCUCGGUCUUUCUUAGUCUGGUCACUACAAGUCUGGGAGCAAGGUGGACUGUGCGCAUGCAUGAGAGCAAAAAUUUUGGGGUCUAGCCAUGGCAGCAGCAAUGGGGUGAAAGUCUCUCCACUCUGGUCAUUCAUUCCUUUUGCUUUUCUAUAUCAGCAAAAAAGGAUGCAGAGCUGGGUAAGUCUCCUUCCCCAAAGAGAAGGCAUUUGGUGUCUUCCCACAAGCAUACUCCCCUCUGACCUUACAUUGCUUUUGUUUUUCUUUUUCUUUUCCAGGGAAACAAGCUGCAGAGAUAGAGGGAAAAGAUGCAGGACUGGGUGAGUCUCUAUUCCUCCCCCCAACUGAAGGAAUUGGGGUCUUUGGUUUGUAGCAGUCGUUGUUGAUAAACUGACUGCUCUCAUCGAUGCAUUGCUUUUCUCUUUCGUUUGUAGAUGAACAAGCUGCAGAGCUGGGUAAGUCUCACUCUAUAAACAGAAAAAAAGAACGAAAAAAAAGGCAUCAUAGUGACAGGUAUGGAAUCAGAAACUAUGCCUUCUUCUCAUGUUUUCCUUUUCCCUUUCAUUUGUAGAGAAUCAAGCUGCAGAGCUGGGUAAGUCUACCGGUGCUGAAGCCCAAGGGAAUGUGCAGGGGAGGGUGGGCAGCUGGGACAGAGCAGCCCAGGGCUGGCCCCUCACCCUGCCCACACCCACUGGGCACCAGCUGUGGCCUGUUAGCAGCUCUCACCUCUCCUUCCAGCAUGGAGAAAUCUUCUGCUGCCUCACAAUACAGGUAGGUGUGCAUUGGGUUGCCCUCUGAGGUGCU